GACGAACGCUGGCGGCGUGCUUAACACAUGCAAGUCGAACGGAGUGGCGAACGGGUGAGUAUUACGUGAGUAACCUGCCCUCAACUGUGGGAUAAGCCUGGGAAACUGGGUCUAAUACUGCAUAGUUGGGGAUGGGCUCGCGGCCUAUGAGCUGGUUGGUGGGGUGAUGGCCCAACAAGGCGGGGUGGUGUUGCAGGCCGUAGAGGGUGAUCGGCAACAGUAGGACGGAGAUACGGCCCAGGCGCCUACGGGUGGGAGCAGUGGGGGAUAUUGCACAAUGGGCGCACGCCCGAUGCAGCGACGCCGCGUGAGGGUUGAAGGCUUUCGGGUUUUAAGCCUCGUUCGGUACAGAACGGGUAUGUGCAGAAGAAGCGCCGGCUAACUACGUGCCAGCAGCCGCGGUAAUAC
Molecule: ribosomal RNA, 408 nt
Filed under: uncultured bacterium
Lineage: Bacteria
Description: partial 16S ribosomal RNA
Rfam family: Bacterial small subunit ribosomal RNA
Source: RNAcentral